GGCGAUGCCAAUCAGCCCGGGGUCAGUCGGGUCCUAAGUCUAAGCCGAACGGCGAUGGCGAUGGCAGAGACGGUUAAUAUUCCGUCACUGCCGCAUGGGGCGACGUGGAGACGGAGCAGUGAAACCACCGCGGGGCGACGGAAGUCCCCGUUGAAGAGUGUAGGCGUUGAGGAUGGCAGGCAAAUCCACCGUCCGAGCUGAACUUGAGAGUAUGGAGUCUUCUUCGGAAGAAUCCAAUAGUGUGGGUAAUCAUACUCCCGAGAAAAUCCGCUAAGCUUAACCCAUGCGGCACCCGUACCGCAAACGGACACACGUGGUCGGGUAGAACAUACUGAGGCGUUGAGAGAUUCAUGGUUAAGGAACUAGGCAAAUUGACCCUGUAACUUCGGGAUAAAGGGUCCUCGUGAAUAGCGAGGCGCAGAGAAUAGGUCCAGGCAACUGUUUAACAAAAACACAGGGCUGUGCAAACUCGAAAGAUGACGUAUACAGCCUGACACCUGCCCGGUGCCGGAAGGUUAAGAGGAGAUGUCACUCGCAAGAGGAAGCAUUGAAUUGAAGCCCCGGUAAACGGCGGCCGUAACAAUAACGGUCCUAAGGUAGCGAAAUUCCUUGUCGGGUAAGUUCCGACCUGCACGAAUGGUGUAAUGAUCCGGACGCUGUCUCAACCAUGAGCUCAGUGAAAUUGUAGUAUCGGUGAAGAUGCCGAUUACCCGCGAUGGGACGAAAAGACCCCGUGAACCUUUACUACAGCUUAGCAUUGACCUUGGUCAUCCGAUGUGUAGGAUAGGCCGGAGGCUUCGAAGCGGGAGCGCCAGCUUUCGUGGAGCCAUCCUUGAAAUACGGCCCUUUGGCUGUCUGAGGUCUAACGCGCGAUGCGCGGACACUGCUUGGUGGGUAGUUUGACUGGGGUGGUCGCCUCCAAAAGCGUAACGGAGGCUUCCAAAGGUGCCCUCGGGUCGAUUGGUAACCGACCUCAAAGAGUGCAAUGGCAUAAGGGCGCUUGACUGGGAGGCAGACAUGCCGAGCAGGCAGGAAACUGGGGCAUAGUGAUCCGGCGGAUGUGUAUGGAAACUCCGUCGCUCAAAGGAUAAAAGGUACUCCGGGGAUAACAGGCUGAUCCCCCCAAGAGCUCAUAUCGACGGGGUGGUUUGGCACCUCGAUGUCGGCUCGUCACAUCCUGGGGCUGGAGAAGGUCCCAAGGGUUGGGCUGUUCGCCCAUUAAAGUGGCACGCGAGCUGGGUUCAGAACGUCGCGAGACAGUUCGGUCUCUAUCUAUCGUGGGCGUGGGAGUUUUGCGUGGUGCCGUCACUAGUACGAGAGGACCGUGAUGGACAGACCUCCGGUUUACCAGUUGUGCCGCCAGGCGCACCGCUGGGUAUCUGAGUCUGGAUUGGAUAAGCGCUGAAAGCAUCUAAGUGCGAAGCCAGCCGCAAGAUGAGAACUCCAUUGAGGGUCGUCAGAGACGAUGACGUUGAUAGGAUGCAGGUGUAAAGACAGCGAUGUCAAAGCCGAGCAUUACUAAUUGCCUAA
This 1530-nucleotide ribosomal RNA is filed under the name metagenome. Its description in RNAcentral is "bacterial LSU rRNA". It matches the Rfam family "Bacterial large subunit ribosomal RNA", at positions 1358 to 2912 of the family's 2925-position model. The record is from RNAcentral.